UCUUAAUUGUUGAGGAUGAAGAUGCC
RNAcentral lists this non-coding RNA (26 nucleotides) under Homo sapiens (human). Lineage: Eukaryota; Metazoa; Chordata; Mammalia; Primates; Hominidae. The record is from RNAcentral.